Mycena vitilis is the source of this 91-nucleotide non-coding RNA. The record is from the annotation of a GenBank genome assembly. Lineage: Eukaryota; Fungi; Basidiomycota; Agaricomycetes; Agaricales; Mycenaceae.
GGCUCAGUGGUGUAAUGGUUGCACUUCUCUAUCUUGUGCUCAAGGAUCAUGAAGCACGGGGAAAGUCCCGGUUCAAAUCCGGGCUGAGCCG